This 433-nucleotide ribosomal RNA is filed under the name uncultured bacterium. RNAcentral's name for it is "partial 16S ribosomal RNA". It matches the Rfam family "Bacterial small subunit ribosomal RNA", at positions 29 to 507 of the family's 1533-position model. The record is from RNAcentral.
AACGAACGCUGGCGGCAUGCCUAACACAUGCAAGUCGAACGAGACCUUCGGGUCUAGUGGCGCACGGGUGCGUAACGCGUGGGAACCUGCCCUUAGGUUCGAAAUAACUCCCCGACAGGGGUGCUAAUACCGGAUAAUGUCUUCGGACCAAAGAUUUAUCGCCUUUGGAUGGGCCCGCGUUGGAUUAGCUGGUUGGUAGGGUAAAAGCCUACCAAGGCGACGAUCCAUAGCUGGUCUGAGAGGAUGAUCAGCGACACUGGGACUGAGACACGGCCCAGACUCCUACGGAAGGCAGCAGUGGGGAAUAUAGGACAAUGGGCGGAGGCAUGAACCAGCAAUGCCGCGUGAGUGAUGAAGGCCUUAGGGAUGUAAAGCUCUUUUACCCGGGAUGAUAAUGACAGUACCGGGAGAAUAAGCGCCGGCUAACUCCGUG